Molecule: ribosomal RNA, 427 nt
Filed under: uncultured bacterium
Lineage: Bacteria
Description: bacterial SSU rRNA
Rfam family: Bacterial small subunit ribosomal RNA
Source: RNAcentral
UGGGGAAUUUUGGACAAUGGGCGAAAGCCUGAUCCAGCCAUGCCGCGUGAGUGAAGAAGGCCUUCGGGUUGUAAAGCUCUUUCAGCCGGAAAGAAAUCGCACAGGCUAAUACUUUGUGUGGAUGACGGUACCGGAAGAAGAAGCACCGGCUAACUACGUGCCAGCAGCCGCGGUAAUACGUAGGGUGCGAGCGUUAAUCGGAAUUACUGGGCGUAAAGCGUGCGCAGGCGGUUAUAUAAGACAGAUGUGAAAUCCCCGGACUCAACCUGGGACCUGCAUUUGUGACUGUAUAGCUAGAGUACGGUAGAGGGGGAUGGAAUUCCGCGUGUAGCAGUGAAAUGCGUAGAUAUGCAGAGGAACACCGAUGGCGAAGGCAGCCUCCUGGGCCAGUACUGACGCUCAUGCACGAAAGCGUGGGGAGCAAACA